GUCUUAGGUAAAAUUUAUUUACCCAGAUAGCCAAGCCUGUCGAAAGCAGAUUAUGCCAAAUGUCUGCUAUCAAUUGUUGUCAACAAAAAGAUUGCAAAUAUGAUGCAGAAGUUGAUAUUAUCGAUUAAGAUCACAAAUUGGUACCAGAAACCGUGCAGAGCCUGCUAACAGAUGACUCUGACAACAGAUUGUGCGCGCGCAGAUCCUGUUCGGUUUCUGCCGCGGUUAGUGCAGGUUGGCUAUUCCGAAGGGGAUAGUCGUCAGGUGUACGACGAUUGUCCCGAGUUCUUUUUUCACCUUGUUAUUUUGUAUUUCGUAUUUAACUCACUUUUGCAAUUGGACAUAUCGAACCUGAAAGGGAUCGGGUGCCAUUAAACACUAAGAAGAAGAAGAAGAAGAAGGUUUCUGCCGCCUAUAAUAAGGGUCUGUUAGCAGGCUCUGCUAAUAGAUCACUAUCCUAUUGCGGAUAUGACGGACGCUUUGCUAUCACCUUCGCUGUUGCCAAUCUGCUUGCAUAUUGUUGGACAUUCCUACAGUUCGCAGAAACCAAGGUCUCAUUACGUUGGGCAAGCGAAACGUAAGGAGUGUAGGAGAAUCUAGAUCUGAACAGUGCUUUAUAUUUGGCCGCAUUGAAACGAUACCUAAAAGAAGCAAACAAUGUAUGAAUACAUGGAGGAGUGUAGACAGCACCUGGCAUCACAGUUACAAACUUCUGCAAAUUCUGGAAAUGAAGCGAGACCUUCGGAGCAGGAUAUCGACAGUGAAUUCCUGAAAGCGUUACAAGCAACUGUUACGUCCCGACAAGUCUCCUUUUUCUUCCGGAUUCCUUUUUUUCAUUUAACCGUCAUAUGCCGAUGUCAUUGCCUUCAGACAAACUUUCUCUUUUAUGAUCCAUCCCAAAAUUCCUUUCCUAACAAUCUCUCAAAGGACCAAGGUUGCACGCUUAGUCAUCUUCCCCGACAUAGCGCCUAACUUACACUUACUUAGACUUACACACGAGAUAUAUUUUUAUAGCAUUUUAAUUAUAAGUAGAUAUUAAGCAGGUCGCGCGUCCUGGAGGCGAAGCGUGGCCAUAUCUCUUGAAUUGUUUUCUCAUAUAUCGAUAUAGUCACUCUCCAAAGCUCGGUUUAAAACGAUAUGUCUAUUGCAUAAUGUUAACGCACAGAUUAACGAUACCAAUAUUUGUAUUCCCGUUGUUUAAAAACAAGAUAAAAUCAUAUAUAAAAUACCAUAAGUAUAUAUACGUAUAAGAAUCGUUAGAACUUUCGCGAAGAUUCUGUAGGCCAAGAGCGGGGAUUUGCGCGGGAUCCUCCCUCUCUGUCCAUGCCUGUUGCAGCCGUUUUCGAGAUCUCCCAUUGGCUAAAGGAAAAUUCUGUUGGUUACGAUUUUGGUAUAAAAGGAACCAACCAAGGUUCCUGGCUCUCUUUUCUUUUCUUCUCUUCUCUUCCUGGUUCUCCACCGGCUCUCUUCACUCAUAUCGCGGUUAGAAAGAAGUACAGCAACGAGAUCUUCAAAACGGCGUCAACGCGAUCACAACUCAAGGUUCAUAUUUACUUCUCCCUCACUCUAAAUUCAUUCAACAUUAUCAAUUAAUCAACUCGAAUAAAUCCAAUAUCUUAGUAAUUAACUAUCCAAUUAGUAAUUGAAUCUCCGACUCUCACAUUCCUUUUCCGACCAUUUAAAUUAUCCUUAAAUCGCAAAACGCACACGACUUGAGUCCCUGGGGUAAAUUGCUUAAAUGCAUUGACUCCAAAAACUAAAAUAUUAACGUUACAUCCCAUAACACAACACACGAUGAAGCAAAUGCGCAGAAAGACAAUCUUCGUGAAAUGACAACCAGUUCGGUCAAACCACUAAGACGGAAGUUAAGUGGUUUAUUUAAGACGGUAGAUAAAACCAGCUCAACAGAGACAAGCUUCAAUAUUAAUAAUAUAAGACUCGCGACCUCUUACUGUAACAUGGCUAUUGUUCUAUGUAUGUAUGGCUUAAUGUACAUGGACUCAUCUACAUUAAGAAACAAAGAAGAGAGAGCUCAGAGUUAUUUGUUUAAAUGUUUAGAAUUGUUAGAAGGAAAAGAAUUGAAUCGAGGAGCUAUUUUGGUACUUAUGAGAGCAUCUGUGCAACUGAAUCGUAUUUUCCGUACGUUUAAAGACAAAAAAAAUAUUGUUCAUACUCACAUAAAGCGAUCGGUUUCUAUCUCGAAUACACAAGCCAGGGAAGCGACUUUCCAGCGCCUACCGUUUCACGCUUCUCGGUUAGUCUUGAUAUUGAAGAAAGGCAUACAAAUACAAUGUUUUCUUUGGUGACAUUGUGUUCUGAACUUUUAUAUCAUAUAAAGGAUUGCGAUAGCUGGGAUCUAGAAGCUCUUGUAAAACCUGUACAUAAUUUUUUCAUGAAUCAGUGGAUACAGACAACAUCGGAUCCUGUAAACGAAGGUUGUGCUUGGAGUUCUGCCAUAAUAGAAUUUUUUUUCCUAUUUUAUAACUCAUUUGCGCUUUAGUGAUGCUAGGAAUUAUCUCGCUGCUGUACAUUGUAUCUUAAAGAGAUAUGAAACAAGUUCUACUCUGGAUAUUUCCCGGAUACUCAUUAUGCUAGAGAGCGUCGCCAUAAUGUCGUGUACAUACUAUAAUCGGCUGCUGCUUUUUACAAAAUAUAACAAAGUUAGAGUAUGUAAAUCAACGCCUUCUGUCGAGACAAAAUCAUUAGUUUUCACGAACUUGAGUGAAGAUGUAGAACGUUAUGUCAAAGAUAUUCCUAUUAAGGUGUAAAAUGUCGAUGAUUUGAAGUUAGUUUUCAAUCAUAGUAUGAAAUGGUUUGACAUGCUCACGUCACUGUCUGUUUCACGUACAGACGCGCGAAAUGACAAAUUUGCAUGAAGAGCAACGUGUAUGACCGAAUUAGGCAAGUACUUUAUGUACUUUGAGGCAGACAAAGUCGAACAGAUGAAAUUGCAUAAACAGCGAAUGAAGAGUUUAAUAAAUGAGGAGAAUUUUCUCAGUUCUAUAGAAACAAAUCUAGUUGGUUUACUUUCUCUAAAGUGUAAUUUUGAACUAAUCAUUACUUGUGGCGCUCUUCUGGACAUGAUACUAGAGGAUGCCGAAAUCAAUGAAAAAGAAUUUGAGCAUAUAGAAAAAGAAGUGCAUACCUAUAUGCAAAUUAGUUUAGAAUAUUCUAAAAAGUAUUUAGAAGAGUUAGAUUUCCUAUUUAGCGAAAAACAAGAUUAACCAUCUUGGAAAGAAUUAUACGUUCAAAUUUUUGAGAUAUUAAGUAAAGAAGAUUAGCAAAUGAGCGCGCGUUUCACGCAGUAGACAGAGGUACAGCAACGAUCAAGGCACAGCAGCAGUCAUAUUAUUUAACUACGAAUAUAAAUACGAAAAUAUAAACGAAAUAUAAACGAGGGGAAAAACAACGCGUUACUGACAUAUUCUUUUCUAAAAUUUUCUAAUAGCUUGCUGUCAUGGGUAAAACGUUACACUUGCCUUCUUAGCGCGCGAGAACGCGCUUAUUUGUAGAUUUUCUUUAUUUACUAUAUCAAAAUUUUACAUGUUGUUUAUGAUGAAAUAAUAGAGGAUUUCAUGUUAAUCAACUAUAUCUUUAUUUAAUCAAUUUGACUUGUAUACUAAAGUUGAUACGUUUUAUUAAAGACAUACACACACACAAAGCAUAUUCACUAUAUACAUGUUAAACAAAACGACUUUUAUCGAUAGUUGCAUCGAUCGCGUGUGUACUAAGAAUAUAUAUAUAUAUAUUUUAUGUAUUAAUCAAUAUAUGGUAAUCAUAAUAUAGUUUUGAUUGAUUUAAAUUACUUAUAACUUGUUGUUUUAAUUCUCCACAUUUAUAUUUCAAUGUUUUUAUAACCAUUAGACUGAAAGAUGUGAUAUCUUCAAAUAUACGUACACCUUACUUAUAAAUAGUCGCGAUGAUAUAUCAACUGCGAGUUUGAAUUAAUGACUUUCGAAGUAUAUUUCAUUGAGGAAAUUAUUAAACUUUGAGUUUCGACAUAUAAUAUUUUUUUGUAUUAUGAACCACAUCACGUAAAGUAUUACGAUCGAUGUUUCUGAAAAUCGAUUGAUCGUUUCACAGAAACAUUGACAAAAAUAAUCGAUUGUCAGCAGAAAACGUCGAUGUUUAAAUAAUCGGAGAAUAUCGCCCAUCCCUAGAUUUCCUACCGAAGUACCGAGUCGCCCCUUUCUCUCGCGAACCGUCGAAGCGAGCACACGUGCCUGCGGAUAGUGCGAGCGAACGAUUAGAGCGGUGAAUCCACAUGGCGAAAAAUUUCACACCACCAACGGAUUUGUGCACAAAUCGACUAAGUUUUCUGAAAGUCAUAGGAAUCGCUGGAUAAGUAGAAUCUUAUUUGAGUUGAAUUUUUAUCUUUGAAUUACAAAACGUAUUAUUACCAUAUCUCACGCAUUCCACCAAAUAAAUCAAAAUUCAACACAAUCUAAGAAGCAAUAAUGGCUUACGUAAUGCAGCACCGUUUGGCAAAGCAAUAUAGAAAGAUGGAUUCACACUUAUCGAAUUUUAAGAAUUCUGAUGAUGGUGAAAACGAACGGAAUAACGUAUUGUGUCUAUUGCUCGACGAAGUUAUGGAACCAGAGCUGGAUGAAUUAGAAGUGAGAGAACGUGAUGAAAGAGUCAGAAAUAAAAAUUACUAUGAAAUCAUUGUAUAUAUAUAUUUCACUCAUUUUUUCUCUUAUGAAACGAAAGAUGUCUUGGACGAGAUCCCUAAAGUAGACGUUAGUAGGAUAUUACGAGACGACUUACAAUUACCAGUAUUAUCACAUGAAGCAGCGACUUGGCAGAAAAAAAAACUUCCUGAAGCGACAAGCCGUUCGGUGAAAAUGUUAAAUGAUGUGCAUGCAAAUAUAAUGAAGGGUUUAGAAAACCAGUACGGAAAACCGAUACAAGUUUCAACGAAGCGAACUGUUCUUAGAACAGUUGGAUGUUCUAUUUAAACUAUGCGUAAACAUACAUUGUGGAACAUGAUCCAGUUUUCAAACACGCGAUUGUAUCAAUGUUUAUUAUGACUAUAGAGAAACUACUUAUGAUCAAAAAUUCUGUUUCUUAUAACUUUGACAAGCAUGUACAGAAAUGUACAGAUAUGAUUUUCUAAUAAACCAAACAAUAGACUGUUUGAUCUUAAUAAAGGAUGCCAGUGUAGUCGAUAGAAGGAGAAGUUUUAUUAUUUCUAAUAAAUGAUUAUAGA
This is an RNA transcript of Ooceraea biroi (clonal raider ant), 5209 nucleotides long. RefSeq lists it as uncharacterized. The record is from RefSeq and is a predicted model, not a curated record. NCBI's taxonomy places the organism in Eukaryota, Metazoa, Arthropoda, Insecta, Hymenoptera, Formicidae.